GACUGUUGUCGUCUGCCACGUGUGAGGGGAGAGAGCUGGGCAGCAUAAAGCUGUCCUGCUUCUCUCAAGGGAAAUGCCUUGCUUCCUGCAGAAGAUUUCAGUGAGAAAUGGCUACAGAAUCAGACCUGCUGCUGGCCAAAGCCAAGUCCAUCAGCAAUAGUGGCAGAGCCUUCCAGGGAAAACAUACAUGAGAAAGGAUAUGAAAGACACUGUGCAGCAGCUGUGAGAGAGAGGUGUGAGAAAAAUACAAGAGAAAUACCUGUAGACACCCAAGUCAGUGAAGAGGAAGAGGAUAAGGUACUCCAGGCACCAGAGUAGACAUUCACCUGUAGCCUGUGGAGGAUCCCACACCAGAGCAUGUGGACCUGUCCUGAUGGAAGCUGCAGAUUGUGAAGAGACCAUGUAGGAGCGGGCUCUUGGCAAGAGCUGCAGUCUGAGGAGAGGAGACCUCAUGGAGAAGGUUUUCUGAUAGGAACUCUGGCAUAGGGACCUAUGCUAGUGCAGUUAAUGAAGAACUGCAGCCCAUGGGAUGAACACACAAUGGAGCAGUUUGUGAAGGACUGUAUCCAGCGAGAGGGAGUCCAUGCUGGAACAGCAAAAGAGCUGAGGAGGAAGAAGUGGUACAGACAAAAUGUUUUGAAUGACCACAACUCCCAUUUCCCAUCUUCCCUGUACUGCUAGUAGAGUGGGGAGGAGGUAGAAGAUUUUGGAACAAAGGAGUGAAGUUGAGCUUGGGAAGAAAGAGUAGGAUAAGGGGAAAGUGGUUUCAGUCUUUGUUUCUCUCUAUCCUACUUUAAUAUUUUCUUUUUAAUUAGGAAUAAACUAAAUUAAUAUUCUGCUAGUCAAAUCUGGUCUGCCUCUGAUAGUGAUUGGUGAGGAACCUCCCUGUCCAUAUCUCAAACCACAUGCUUUUCCAUCUAAUUUUCAGCCACUGGCCUGCUGAUGAAGGGGAGUAAGAGAGCACUUGUGUGGGCAUCUGGCAGUCAGCCAAGGUCAGCCCACCAGAGAAGUUUAUAAUUUUGUCACAUCAGAUGAGUCUUUUCUCUCUCUUCCCAGCUCUGCUGUAUUAUCUGGCACAUGAUGUAGGUGGGUGGUAUUGAUUUUCCUAAUGUGCUAAUUCAGACUCUGUCAGAGUCCUUUGAAGCUGAUGUGUUUUCCAUGUUAUGAUCCUAAGCAACUGAAGCUGCUUGGUUUGACACGGGGAAGGAAUUCUCAUAAACUGUUCCAAAUUGAAAGUUUUUUUCUCAUCAGUGAGCAAGAUUCUUUUUCAAGAUUGAGUUCCAUGUUUAAUAUUUACAUCCAGCUUAUGCAGAUUUAUCUGCAAAUAAUCACCCAAGACAUUGCACAUGCAUUUUCAGAGGGGUGCCAGUGAACUGCUUAUGUAGAUUUUCUGCAUAUAAAGUUGCAGAUUUUGCAGCUACCAGAGUUCACAUUUUAAAAUGUGGCCCUAUUAGUGUAAAUUAUACAGUAUUAGCACAUGCUGAAAUUUCAAAGCAAAAUGAUAUAUGUAAUAGCUAAGAUUCUAGAAAAUGACGCAAGAUAAGACAGCAUUUAAAAUACAGGAGAAAGCAAUGUUGAUAACAUAAAAGUAACAAACAGUUUAGAGAAAGAUCCUGAUAUAUCUUGUAAGUAUGUAGGAUGGCAGACUGGAAUUUGCAUGUAAAGGGUAACAGAAAAAAAAAUAUAGACUGUAGUGGUGGAAAGGUGGGAAGGUGUUCCUGCUCAGGGCAGGAGUGUUGGAGCUAGGUGAUCUUUAAGGUCCCUUCUCACCCAAAUGAUUCUAUGAUUCUAUAAUAUAAUGCUUGGCAGAAGUUGUAGUAGUACCUGUAAAUUUGAAUGUUGGUAGUUAAAAAGCAGACAAGAAUACAUAAUCUAAAGGCCCUGCAAAUAAUAUCUUAUUUUUUCACACAGUUUUUAGCACGAGAGCAGUUUUAAGAUAAGGGAAGUUAUGAUUUGUGUAGUUACAAAACUUUGCAUAAUUAUUCAAAAUGCACAGAAAGUACCUAAAGCACAAGGCACAAGCCUGCAGAAGCUCCUGUAUGUACAAAAAGUGCAGGAAAAAGCUAUGUGACAACACUAAUUAUAAAAAAGAAACUGCGCGUGGUAACAGCAGCAUGAAGCUGAGUUUUUUUACCACAAGCACGCUGUAAGGGAGCAUUUUAUGUAAACUAUUAGGCUAGUGGUCUCUAGUCUCGCACUCUAUUCUACUGAAUGUACUGGUUUUGUCUGGGAAAGAGUAGUAAGUCUUCAUAGUAACUUCUACGGGGCUAUGAUUUGUAAAGCCAAAACAGUAUUGAUAACACACUGAUGUUUUAGCUGUUGCUAAGCAGUACUUGCACAUCAUCAAGGCACUUUUUUUCUGCUUCUCAUACUGUCUCACCACUCUGUAGUCUGGGGGUGCACAAGAAUCUGGGAGGGGAUACAGCAGGGACAGCUGACUGCAACUGACCAGACGGAUAUUCCAUAUCAUAUGAUCUCUUGCUUUGCAAUAACAUCUGCAGAGAAUAAGGAUGAAGGAGGAAGGUGUCAGGAGAGAUGGAAUUUGUCUUCCCAAGUAACCGCUAUUCAGGAUGAAGCCCUGCUUUCCUGGAAAUAUCUAAACAUCUGCCUGCCAACAGGAAUUAGUGAAUUAAUUCCUUGCUUUGCAUUGGUUUACUGAUUAAACUAUCUUUAUCUCAACCCACAAGUUUUCUCACUUCUACCCUCAUAAUUCUCUCCCCCAGCCCACUGUGGGGAGUCAGCAGGUGGCUGGGUAGUCCUGAGCUGCCAGCCAGGGUUAACCCACAACACUGCAGAAACUGAAGACAUUUUAAGAAGCAGUGCUUAAACACUACUUAAGAUGAAUUCCCUCCAGAAAGCACUAUGUGAAGCUCAUGUUCUGUGCACCUGCUGUGGUUCCCACAUAGCAUUUUUUGUGAAUUUGGUUUCUACCUCCUUAU
Molecule: long non-coding RNA, 2939 nt
Organism: Manacus vitellinus (golden-collared manakin)
Lineage: Eukaryota; Metazoa; Chordata; Aves; Passeriformes; Pipridae
Exons: 3
Source: RefSeq, a predicted model, not a curated record